UUUUCAUUUUACAAUCAAGUAAAGAUUUCCAUUUUCAGUUCCAAGUUUAAAAUAAAUUUUGAAUCAUAAAUUCCAACCAUAAUUUAUGAACAUUUAUUUACGUCAAGUUUUAAUAUAAGUCCUUCAGAGAAGAAGAAAUACAUUAAUACAGUAAAAAUUUAGCCCAUGGAAGGGCACAUAUAUAAAUGUGAUAUUGAAUAUUCCUCCAGAAAAUUUAUACUACAAGACUCAUGUCACAAAUAAAUCUAAAAUGUGAUUAAAAUGAUAUAAGAGUUAUACUUCGAUGGGAUAGAUUUAAAAAGAAGAGACAAAAAUGUGGAGGGAGGAAUCAAGAGUUUUGGCCCUACCAAUACCCCAAAAAAAUUCUGCAUUAAUAACUUCAAGUUCCCAAAUUUUACUUCUUUGCUUUUUAUCCGGGAAGAUCCUUAACUUAUAUAAAAGUUCCAAAGUUCUAGAGUAAAUUAUCCUGUUGAGAAGGCUCACAUAACCACAAACUACAGUGUCCAGGUAUUUCAGCAAGGUAACCAAAACAAAGGCAACUUACGUCAUGGGUGGGAAAAUUAUGAAUUUAUGAUUAACAUACCAUAAAAUGGUGUUUAAAAUAGGACAUUUCUCAUAAAUCACAAUCAUAUCCCAUAAAGGUUUCCACAUUUAUGAUAUGAAAUCCCAACAGUCCAUUCCAACUAUUUCGGAAAGAGAUUCGCACAAACUGAGUUGAGAAAAACUUACAAAUAUUGCCAAAGUUUAUUAAAUUUUUCACACUGAGACCAUUCUAGCUUACACAGGAUAGAGAACUCCAUUUCACUAAAGCAUACUAUCCAAAUAAAGAAGCAUGGAUUCGCUAGCUUAUAAACAUCCAAAGAAUUUGUAAAAUUUACGCACCCAAGACUUCAUCUCUUGAGUGCCCUUUUCUUAGUAUGUGUAUUUUCAUUUUACUCCUGCAGUCCCGCUUCUGCUCUUUUUGUAAUAUGUGGUCGUUCGCUCUACUCGUGCUUUUGCUCUCCUUGAUAGAACAGGUCUGCAUAAAAGAUUCUCUCUCUCUCUCUCNNNNNNNNNNNNNNNNNNNNNNNNNNNNNNNNNNUUAGUUCGGUUCGUUCGUCGUCUACUCGUCGUCGUUUCGUUCUCUCCUUCGUACGUAGUAACGACGUACGUCGUCGACUAAUAACGUACUCUCUCUCUCUCUCUCUCUCUCUCUCUCUCUCUCUCUCUCUCCACCCCCCCACCCUUCCCAGCAAACACCUUUAUUUCUUUUGCCAAGUGUGUAAGAAAAUAAUUUAACAUAGGUCUGCAUACACUAUUCUCAACAUGGUGUAAGAGUCUGAGGGACUAGAACUCCAAGAGUCUGAAAGCCUUGUUUCUUGAAUUGUCUUUACAGAAUAUCCCUGGUUAAAAGCCGAGUCCACUUUGUGAGAUCAGGCCAACAGUCACUCAUGGCUCCCCUUUUCAUAUCCAUUCCCCAUAGGGGAGUCAUGGCUCCAUUUGCAUCAGCAAAGCCACAACAACAAAAAUAUACUACCUCUGUUCCAGGGUCCAUUUUCCCUUUAUUUUUUGGAUUGUUUUCAAGGUAGAGCAGGAGAAAAUUAUGGGUUCUGCAUUCUCAACCAACUUUUGAGGUAGUUCUCAAACCUUUGUUUACUUCCAUUGUCUCGAAAUUAUCCAAUACAUGUCUUUGUCCUGAUUCAUUUCUCUGAAAACACAACCUUUUGUACUUGUUCAUGCUAGACGAAUUUUUGUUCAUGUCGUAUUCAGCCAGAAGAACUACCAAAGUUAGAUCUUUCAGCUUGGUGUUAUAGUGAAGCAUAAAUACUUGAAGACUCCACAAAGCAUGAUAUAAGCCAAGUAUAGAGUCAUACUUUAUGCUACAUUUAGCCACACAAAGGUUGGAAGUUGGAUAAAUCCAUGACAUCGUGUCUACAACUACCUUACAAAUUGACAAAUUGGAUUCGCAAUACAUGAUGGAUGCCAAGAAAUUCAUGAUAAUGUUCAGCAGAGUGAUUGAAAACUCAGCCUGAGUUACUCAGACUCGGUUCCUUGCUGCACCGAGUGCUCUGGUGCAACUUGGGCCAUUAAAAAAUCAAAUCAAAAAAAUUAUAUAAAAAUGUGGAACAAAUGCAUAAGAAUAACAUAUGUAAUUGGAUACUUCUUAGAAUGAUUUGAGAGUUUUUCUUCUCAUAUGCCCUAUUUUUAUAUUUUUCUCUUUUUCUGGAUUUUUCUGAAAUGUCUCCAACCAUAAGUCGAGUUUUUCUCAACUCAUGUUUUAUAUAAGGAAAAUUGUUUCAUGCGGGCUGGACCGCAUUUCUACAUAUGCGGUUCAAAAGUAUAAAGCAUCCAUCUUAAAGAUGGAUGCAAAUAUGCGGUCCAUCUAAAAACAAUUGAAACUAACGGUCCAAAUGUUUUCUUAAUAGAAUUAUUAUUUCUAGUUUUUAAAAUUUAUUUAUUUUUUCAUAUUCAUGAUCUCCAUCUUAGAGAUUACAUAUCCUUAAAAAUUAAGUCCAAAAAUCCAUCUCAAAAAUAAACUUAUUAAGGGGCCUGCAGUUCUACAUGUGUGGGCUUGGCCUACAUGCUAACCGCAUCCCUUAUAUAAUCUUUUAGCUUUUUGGGACUUUUUAUGUUAUCUUUGGUUUUGUUUCACUUUUAUAAUUUUUAUCCCAUUUUUAAACAAUUCUUUUGAAUUUAUUUUUAGGGCCUUUUGGGCCGCCUUGUACACUACUUGGCUGAGCCUCCGCGGAAUUGGCAGAGUUACUCGGCUUGGACCAUGCUGAGUCUGAGGCCCAAGCCGUUUUUAAGAACAUAUUCAAAAUUAUGUUCUUGAUUCAAAAAUGAAAGUGUUUGAGGCAUGAAUGGCAUCACGCCCAAUGCAUAACAUGCUUAAUUAUCUAAGAGAUUUAUGAAAUUACAUAAAAUGCCUUCUGUUUGUUAACAUAGACUACUGCAAACAAACAUAUUCAAAAUUCUCGACAUUUCAACAGAUAUUAAAACAUCAAAGUUCAAAAUUUGCACCAAAACACAAUGUAAACAACAUAUAAAGCCUAACUCCACAGAACCACACGAAAUGUUGAAGAGAAAGGGGCCCUAUAUUGGAUGUGAAAAGGGAAUUCAUGUCAUAAUCGACAUACAAACAUGCGUCAAGUGAUAAAUAACGACAAAUGAAAUGGGUAAUUCAAAGAUUCCAGGUUUCUAUAACAGAUGGAUUUUUUUCAAAUCACGCAAAAAAAAUCUGAUAACAGAUGGAUUUUUUUCAAAUCAUGCAAAAAAAAUUAUGAUCAAAUGCAAGAAAUAGGCCAGAGAGAAAAUUGAAUCAAAG
Molecule: long non-coding RNA, 3304 nt
Filed under: Amborella trichopoda
Lineage: Eukaryota; Viridiplantae; Streptophyta; Magnoliopsida; Amborellales; Amborellaceae
Description: long non-coding RNA (ATRI_LNC002792)
Source: RNAcentral